This 21-nucleotide non-coding RNA is filed under the name Caenorhabditis elegans. Lineage: Eukaryota; Metazoa; Nematoda; Chromadorea; Rhabditida; Rhabditidae. The record is from RNAcentral.
UAGAUCUACAUAUCAUAUACG